This is a transfer RNA of Loxodonta africana (African savanna elephant), 71 nucleotides long. It matches the Rfam family "tRNA". Rfam says of the family: Transfer RNA (tRNA) molecules are approximately 80 nucleotides in length. Their secondary structure includes four short double-helical elements and three loops (D, anti-codon, and T loops). Lineage: Eukaryota; Metazoa; Chordata; Mammalia; Proboscidea; Elephantidae. The record is from Rfam.
GCCCUGGUGGCUCAUUGGUUAAGCAUUUGGCUUCUAACCAAAAGAUUGGCAGUUCAAAUCCACCAGGUGCU